Molecule: ribosomal RNA, 433 nt
Filed under: uncultured bacterium
Lineage: Bacteria
Description: partial 16S ribosomal RNA
Rfam family: Bacterial small subunit ribosomal RNA
Source: RNAcentral
AACGAACGCUGGCGGCAUGCCUAACACAUGCAAGUCGAACGAGACCUUCGGGUCUAGUGGCGCACGGGUGCGUAACGCGUGGGAACCUGCCCUUAGGUUCGGAAUAACUCCCCGAAAGGGGUGCUAAUACCGGAUAAUGUCUUCGGACCAAAGAUUUAUCGCCUUUGGAUGGGCCCGCGUUGGAUUAGCUAGUUGGUAGGGUAAAAGCCUACCAAGGCGACGAUCCAUAGCUGGUCUGAGAGGAUGAUCAGCCACACUGGGACUGAGACACGGCCCAGACUCCUACGGGAGGCAGCAGUGGGGAAUAUUGGACAAUGGGCGAAAGCCUGAUGCAGCAAUGCCGCGUGAGUGAUGAAGGUCUUAGGGUUGUAAAGCUCUUUUACCCGGGAUGAUAAUGACAGUACCGGGAGAAUAAGCCCCGGCUAACUCCGUG